Molecule: long non-coding RNA, 1019 nt
Organism: Triticum dicoccoides
Lineage: Eukaryota; Viridiplantae; Streptophyta; Magnoliopsida; Poales; Poaceae
Exons: 3
Source: RefSeq, a predicted model, not a curated record
UUAAAUGCGGGUGGCCAGAGAGGGUGCUCGGUCGAUAUUAAUCUCAUUCUCAUCCGAUCCCCAUUUCGACGCAGGAGGGAAGGAAAUCUAGCGUACUGUUCACCAGAUCCACAAAUCCGGACAGAGGGAGAGUUAGUCGUCGAUGAUGGCGAGCCAGAACCUAGGAGACAUUCCGCCGGUGCUGCCAAUCGUGGGUUGCCCGGACUGCGGCAAGAAGGUAGUCACGUACGGUAGCUCGCCGCGGGCAGCAUGUGGGCGAGCGCUUCUACAAGUGCCGCUACCACAAUCCAUCAGCAGGGGGAUGUGAUUUCUACAGGUGGCAAGAAGCGUACGCCGAGCACCUCGCAUCAAAUCCACAGGCGCAGAUCCAGGCGGCGCAAGUUGGUCAAGGUGCGCAGGCGCCGGUCGGGGCGGAGGGGCACCAGAACGUGGCGCCGGGGGGAUCUCAGUUUGGCUCGUCGGCAAGCGGAGAGCUGUUUUUUGCUGCUUGUAAAUGCCAUAUAUGUGGUAGAUAGGAGAUGGAUGGUCCAGAAGAAAAUGUGAUUAGACUCUAAAAGGUGCGGUGAUUUCUUCUUUUUCUAGGAGAUGGACCAAAUGUGGUGGUUGGGACCUUGCAUGAUUCUCAAGGCUCUGUCCGAAACCAAUUUCCCAGGAAUACAGAUUGUAGUAGUCAUAUGCUUCUCCGAGAGAACCAAAGCUGUCGCCGACAGCAGGAACUACAAUUCUCUUCUUCUCUGCGUAGCAUCUCAACGUUUUUUCAAGUGCGCUUAUUCUGUCCGCGCAUGGAGGACGCUCAAGAGGGGCUCGGCCAAUACGUACUCUGCAACACCCACACAUGGAGCAUCAGUAUGCUACCACCCUGUUUUGUGAACUUUUGAAAUUGCAAGCGUAAUUCGGUUUUUUCCGCCAGCAGCGUGAUACAUGCGCAGUUCUUUUUUUCAAAAUGAUGUGAAUAUUGCUUUCCAUAAUAAGUCCCAAUAUCAAUACCAUUUUGCCCAGCCAGAGGCUUGGCUUUCGUC